Equus caballus (horse) is the source of this 711-nucleotide long non-coding RNA. Lineage: Eukaryota; Metazoa; Chordata; Mammalia; Perissodactyla; Equidae. The record is from Ensembl.
GUCUACUCAACCCUCAACUCUUGCCAGCUAUUGCUAGAUUCCCAUUCACCAUCUCUUCCAUUCUCCUUGUAUUGAUCUUCCAGCAUACUUGGAGCUGAAGGUCCACCAAUUAAGACAUUUAGGACAUUAUCAGCAUGAGAAAACCCAAGAGUUGAGAUUUGAAAAUGGCAUCCAGCAGUGGGUUGUUAAGAGAUACACGUAUUUCUUGAAAAGCUUCCCAAGAAUCAAGUGACAGCUACAAAAACCCAGAAAAUGAUGCCUCAAGUGGAUUCUUUACCAAGUCACCAUCAUAGCCUGCGGAGUUUUGGUCAAUAAAUAGCAAUCCUGGAGACCUAAAUAAUCAUCUCUGGGAUUGUAUACUUGAUCUUGAAACGGUCCCAGCCAGUGUCUUGCUUGGAGCCUGGGAAAGGAGAAAGGAGGAAGAGUCAUACAAUUUCCAUUUAAAUUGAGAAUCUUUUCCCUGGAAACCCAGAGCCCUCUCUGCUGGCUUCCCACUGUUUGCUUCUUUUUAUGCAUCUUACUCAGAGGAUGGCAUGAUUAUUCCCUAAACAUAUUACUGCAGCUCUUCCGGCAGAUUCUCUCUUCGAGGAAUGUCACGAAUGAAUUACCAUGCGGUAUUGGCAUGGGGCCUCAGCCGGCAGGAGCCAAUUAUUUAAAAAAUUUCCAAGCAAAUCAGAUCAGUGUUUCACAAGUUAUUGGCCAAGAAUCUUC